RNAcentral lists this ribosomal RNA (930 nucleotides) under Cytobacillus kochii. RNAcentral's name for it is "bacterial SSU rRNA". It matches the Rfam family "Bacterial small subunit ribosomal RNA", at positions 1 to 891 of the family's 1533-position model. Lineage: Bacteria; Bacillati; Bacillota; Bacilli; Caryophanales; Bacillaceae. The record is from RNAcentral.
GGUUUAAAAAUUUUUGGGGGGGGUUUUUAAAUUUUUUUUUACUUGCUCAGGACGAACGCUGGCGGCGUGCCUAAUACAUGCAAGUCGAGCGAAUGUGAGGGAGCUUGCUCCCAAAGAUCAGCGGCGGACGGGUGAGUAACACGUGGGCAACCUGCCUGUAAGAUUGGGAUAACUCCGGGAAACCGGGGCUAAUACCGGAUAAUAUCUAUUUAUACAUAUAAUUAGAUUGAAAGAUGGUUUUGGUAUCAAUUACAGAUGGGCCCGCGGCGCCUUAGGUAGUUGGUGAGGUAACGGCUCACCAAGGGGACGAUGCGUAGCCGACCUGAGAGGGUGAUUGGCCACAAUGGGAAUGAGACACGGCCCAGACUCCUACGGGAGGCAGCCGUAGGGAAUUUUUCGCAAUGGACGAAAGUUUGACGGAGCAACGCCGCGUGAGUGAUGAAGGUCUUCGGAUUGUAAAACUUUGUUGUUAGGGAAGAACCAGUACCGGAGUAACUGCCGGUACCUUGACGGUACCUAACCAGAAAGCCACGGCUAACUACGUGCCAGCAGCCGCGGUAAUACGUAGGUGGCAAGCGUUGUCCGGAAUUAUUGGGCGUAAAGCGCGCGCAGGCGGUUCCUUAAGUCUGAUGUGAAAGCCCACGGCUCAACCGUGGAGGGUCAUUGGAAACUGGGGAACUUGAGUGCAGAAGAGGAAAGUGGAAUUCCAAGUGUAGCGGUGAAAUGCGUAGAGAUUUGGAGGAACACCAGUGGCGAAGGCGACUUUCUGGUCUGUAACUGACGCUGAGGCGCGAAAGCGUGGGGAGCAAACAGGAUUAGAUACCCUGGUAGUCCACGCCGUAAACGAUGAGUGCUAAGUGUUAGAGGGUUUCCGCCCUUUAGUGCUGCAGCUAACGCAUUAAGCACUCCGCCUGGGAUACACGAAGGUGG